AUUGAACGCUGGCGGCAUGCCUUACACAUGCAAGUCGAACGGUAACAGGUCUUUCGGGAUGCUGACGAGUGGCGAACGGGUGAGUAAUACAUCGGAACGUGCCUAGUAGUGGGGGAUAACUACUCGAAAGAGUGGCUAAUACCGCAUGAGAUCUAUGGAUGAAAGCAGGGGACCUUUGGGCCUUGUGCUACUAGAGCGGCCGAUGGCAGAUUAGGUAGUUGGUGGGAUAAAAGCUUACCAAGCCUACGAUCUGUAGCUGGUCUGAGAGGACGAUCAGCCACACUGGGACUGAGACACGGCCCAGACUCCUACGGGAGGCAGCAGUGGGGAAUUUUGGACAAUGGGCGCAAGCCUGAUCCAGCAAUGCCGCGUGCAGGAUGAAGGCCUUCGGGUUGUAAACUGCUUCUGUACGGAACGAAAAGUCUUGGGUUAAUACCCUGGGAUCAUGACGGUACCGUAAGAAUAAGCACCGGCUAACUACGUG
Molecule: ribosomal RNA, 484 nt
Filed under: uncultured bacterium
Lineage: Bacteria
Description: partial 16S ribosomal RNA
Rfam family: Bacterial small subunit ribosomal RNA
Source: RNAcentral